UACGAAGGGGGCUAGCGUUGCUCGGAAUCACUGGGCGUAAAGCGCACGUAGGCGGAUUGUUAAGUCAGGGGUGAAAUCCCGAGGCUCAACCUCGGAACUGCCUUUGAUACUGGGGAUCUCGAGUUCGGGAGAGGUGAGUGGAAUUGCGAGUGUAGAGGUGAAAUUCGUAGAUAUUCGCAAGAACACCAGUGGCGAAGGCGGCUCACUGGCCCGAUACUGACGCUGAGGUGCGAAAGCGUGGGGAGCAAACAGG
This 253-nucleotide ribosomal RNA is filed under the name uncultured bacterium. Its description in RNAcentral is "partial 16S ribosomal RNA". It matches the Rfam family "Bacterial small subunit ribosomal RNA", at positions 524 to 776 of the family's 1533-position model. The record is from RNAcentral.